This is a non-coding RNA of Dromiciops gliroides (monito del monte), 476 nucleotides long. The record is from the annotation of a RefSeq genome assembly. NCBI's taxonomy places the organism in Eukaryota, Metazoa, Chordata, Mammalia, Microbiotheria, Microbiotheriidae.
GACAAGCUCAAGUUCUUUGUUCUCUUCUGUGCAAAGGACUAGCUUAGAAACUCACCAUGAAAUUUAGCUUGAACUGGAUUUUCCUUCUGACAAUUUUCCAAGGUGCCCAGUGUGAUGUGCAGCUGUUGGAGUCUGGGGGAGAUGUGAGGCAGCCUGGGGAUUCUCUGCGUCUGUCAUGCAAAGCUUCUGGAUUCACCUUCAGCAGCUAUCACAUGCACUGGGUCCGCCAGGCUCCAGGGAAGGGAUUGAAAUGGGUUGCGAGAAUUAAUACUGGUGGAAGUGGUAUAUACUAUGCAGACUCUGUGAAAGGUCGAUUCACCAUUUCCAGAGAUGAUGGCAACAGCAUGUUAUAUCUACAGAUGACUUCCCUUAAAACUGAGGAUACAGCUGUGUAUUACUGUGCAAGUGACACAGUGAGGAAAAGGAAUGUCAGACUAGACAGAAACUUCCCCUGCCAGGAGGCAAGAAGCCAGUGA